RNAcentral lists this ribosomal RNA (419 nucleotides) under uncultured bacterium. RNAcentral's name for it is "bacterial SSU rRNA". It matches the Rfam family "Bacterial small subunit ribosomal RNA", at positions 357 to 774 of the family's 1533-position model. The record is from RNAcentral.
AGGAAUAUUGGUCAAUGGACGCAAGUCUGAACCAGCCAUGCCGCGUGAAGGAUGAAGGUCCUCUGGAUUGUAAACUUCUUUUAUCUGGGACGAAAACGGGAUUUUUAUCUCAAUUGACGGUACCAGCGGAAUAAGCACCGGCUAACUCCGUGCCAGCAGCCGCGGUAAUACGGAGGGUGCGAGCGUUAUCCGGAUUUACUGGGUUUAAAGGGUGCGUAGGUGGGCUUAUAAGUCAGUGGUGAAAUCUCCGAGCUUAACUUGAAAACUGCCGUUGAUACUAUAGGUCUUGAAUUAUCUGGAGGUAAGCGGAAUAUGUCAUGUAGCGGUGAAAUGCUUAGAUAUGACAUAGAACACCAAUUGCGAAGGCAGCUUACUACAUAUAGAUUGACGCUGAGGCACGAAAGCGUGGGGAUCAAACA